This 462-nucleotide ribosomal RNA is filed under the name uncultured bacterium. RNAcentral's name for it is "bacterial SSU rRNA". It matches the Rfam family "Bacterial small subunit ribosomal RNA", at positions 28 to 489 of the family's 1533-position model. The record is from RNAcentral.
GAUGAACGCUAGCGGCAGGCUUAACACAUGCAAGUCGAGGGGUAUUGGUUUUCGGACCAAGAGACCGGCGCACGGGUGCGUAACGCGUAUGCAAUCUACCUUUUGCAGAGGGAUAGCCCCAGAGAAAUUUGGAUUAAUACCUCAUAGUAUAGUACUUUGGCAUCAAGGAACUAUUAAAGUCACAACGGCAAAAGAUGAGCAUGCGUCCCAUUAGCUAGUUGGUAAGGUAACGGCUUACCAAGGCUACGAUGGGUAGGGGUCCUGAGAGGGAGAUCCCCCACACUGGUACUGAGACAUGGACCAGACUCCUACGGAGGCAGCAGUGAGGAAUAUUGGACAAUGGGCGCAAGCCUGAUCCANCCGAUGCCCGCGUGCAGGAUGACGGUCCGUAUGGAUUGUAAACUGCUUUGUACAGGAAGAAACACUACUUCGUGAAGUAGCUUGACGGUACUGUAAGAAUAA